This 494-nucleotide ribosomal RNA is filed under the name uncultured bacterium. RNAcentral's name for it is "partial 16S ribosomal RNA". It matches the Rfam family "Bacterial small subunit ribosomal RNA", at positions 28 to 507 of the family's 1533-position model. The record is from RNAcentral.
GACGAACGCUGGCGGCGUGCUUAACACAUGCCAGUCGAACGGAAAGGCCUGCUUUCCCUUGUGGAUUGCGGGUACUCGAGUGGCGAACGGGUGAGUAACACGCGAGUGAUCUGCCCCCAACUUGGGUAUAAGCCUGGGAAACUGGGUCUAAUUCCCGAUAGGACUGCAGGGUGGUGCCUGUGGUGGAAAACGAUUUUCUAGUGGUUGGGGAUGAGCUCGCGGCCUAUCAGCUUGUUGGUGGGGUAAUGGCCUACCAAGGCGGCGACGGGUAGCCGGCCUGGGAGGGUGGACGGCCACAUUGGGACUGAGAUACGGCCCAGACUCCUACGGGAGGCAGCAGUGGGGAAUAUUGCACAAUGGGCGGAAGCCUGAUGCAGCGACGCCGCGUGGGGGAUGACGGCCUUCGGGUUGUAAACUCCUUUCGACCGCGAGGAAGCCACCUGGUUGGAAGGGUGGUGACGGUAGUGGUAGAAGAAGCACCGGCUAACUACGUG